GGAUGUGAGGGUGAUCUGUCUGUGACAUCUGUCACCCCAUUGAUACCACAGUUAAUUCAGUUGAUCUGGCUAGCUAGGCAGGUGUCCCCUUCCUCCGUUACCACUCCAUUUUUAUUUUUCCAUGAACUGUGUGCUCAUGGAAGAGACAACUAAUUUAGGGAGGAGUGUAUCAAUCUUUAGGCAAGGGUAUGAUAUCCGUGCUCACCUUCUAGAACCGACAAACAAACCUUUUCCUCCAUCCAUUUGCCUGUUCGUUUCCCAGGCUUGAGAUAUAACAAUGCAUCUCAAUGGCUUUGUUUGAUCAGCAGUGCUUG
RNAcentral lists this small nuclear RNA (314 nucleotides) under Ophiophagus hannah (king cobra). Its description in RNAcentral is "7SK RNA". It matches the Rfam family "7SK RNA". Rfam says of the family: 7SK was discovered as an abundant small nuclear RNA in the mid-70s but a possible function has only recently been suggested. Two independent studies have found that 7SK RNA binds the CDK9/cyclin T complex (known as elongation factor P-TEFb). The record is from Rfam by way of RNAcentral. Lineage: Eukaryota; Metazoa; Chordata; Lepidosauria; Squamata; Elapidae.